GACGAACGCUGGCGGCGUGCCUAAUACAUGCAAGUAGAACGCUGAAGAGAGGAGCUUGCUCUUCUUGGAUGAGUUGCGAACGGGUGAGUAACGCGUAGGUAACCUGCCUUGUAGCGGGGGAUAACUAUUGGAAACGAUAGCUAAUACCGCAUAGCAAUGGAUGACACAUGUCAUUUAUUUGAAAGGGGCAAUUGCUCCACUACAAGAUGGACCUGCGUUGUAUUAGCUAGUAGGUGAGGUAAUGGCUCACCUAGGCGACGAUACAUAGCCGACCUGAGAGGGUGAUCGGCCACACUGGGACUGAGACACGGCCCAGACUCCUACGGGAGGCAGCAGUAGGGAAUCUUCGGCAAUGGGGGCAACCCUGACCGAGCAACGCCGCGUGAGUGAAGAAGGUUUUCGGAUCGUAAAACUCUGUUGUAAGUCAAGAACGGGUGUGAGAGUGGAAAGUUCACACUGUGACGGUAGCUUACCAGAAAGGGACGGCUAACUACGUGCCAGCAGCCGCGGUAAUACGUAGGUCCCGAGCGUUGUCCGGAUUUAUCGGGCGUAAAGCGAGCGCAGGCGGUUUGAUAAGUCUGAAGUUAAAGGCUGUGGCUCAACCAUAGUUCGCUUUGGAAACUGUCAAACUUGAGUGCAGAAGGGGAGAGUGGAAUUCCAUGUGUAGCGGUGAAAUGCGUAGAUAUAUGGAGGAACACCGGUGGCGAAAGCGGCUCUCUGGUCUGUAACUGACGCUGAGGCUCGAAAGCGUGGGGAGCGAACAGGAUUAGAUACCCUGGUAGUCCACACCGUAAACGAUGAGUGCUAGGUGUUGGAUCCUUUCCGGGAUUCAGUGCCGCAGCUAACGCAUUAAGCACUCCGCCUGGGGAGUACGACCGCAAGGUUGAAACUCAAAGGAAUUGACGGGGGCCCGCACAAGCGGUGGAGCAUGUGGUUUAAUUCGAAGCAACGCGAAGAACCUUACCAGGUCUUGACAUCCCGAUGCUAUUUCUAGAGAUAGAAAGUUACUUCGGUACAUCGGUGACAGGUGGUGCAUGGUUGUCGUCAGCUCGUGUCGUGAGAUGUUGGGUUAAGUCCCGCAACGAGCGCAACCCCUAUUGUUAGUUGCCAUCAUUCAGUUGGGCACUCUAGCGAGACUGCCGGUAAUAAACCGGAGGAAGGUGGGGAUGACGUCAAAUCAUCAUGCCCCUUAUGACCUGGGCUACACACGUGCUACAAUGGUUGGUACAACGAGUUGCGAGUCGGUAACGGCGAGCUAAUCUCUUAAAGCCAAUCUCAGUUCGGAUUGUAGGCUGCAACUCGCCUACAUGAAGUCGGAAUCGCUAGUAAUCGCGGAUCAGCACGCCGCGGUGAAUACGUUCCCGGGCCU
Molecule: ribosomal RNA, 1369 nt
Filed under: uncultured bacterium
Lineage: Bacteria
Description: bacterial SSU rRNA
Rfam family: Bacterial small subunit ribosomal RNA
Source: RNAcentral